UACGUAGGGUGCAAGCGUUAAUCGGAAUUACUGGGCGUAAAGCGUGCGCAGGCGGCUAUGCAAGACAGAUGUGAAAUCCCCGGGCUCAACCUGGGAACUGCAUUUGUGACUGCAUGGCUAGAGUACGGUAGAGGGGGAUGGAAUUCCGCGUGUAGCAGUGAAAUGCGUAGAGAUGCGGAGGAACACCGAUGGCGAAGGCAGCCCCCUGGGCUAACACUGACGCUCAGGCACGAAAGCGUGGGGAGCAAACAGG
RNAcentral lists this ribosomal RNA (253 nucleotides) under uncultured bacterium. Its description in RNAcentral is "partial 16S ribosomal RNA". It matches the Rfam family "Bacterial small subunit ribosomal RNA", at positions 524 to 776 of the family's 1533-position model. The record is from RNAcentral.